Molecule: ribosomal RNA, 1227 nt
Filed under: Ascomycota sp. L302
Lineage: Eukaryota; Fungi; Ascomycota
Description: eukaryotic LSU rRNA
Rfam family: Eukaryotic large subunit ribosomal RNA (bases 568-1227)
Source: RNAcentral
UUUUUUUCUUUUAAAAUUAAAAUUGUAACAAGGUUUCCGAGGGAACCCUCGGAAGGAUCAUUACCGAAGUGCGGGCCCUUCGCGGCCCAACCUUCCCACCCUUCUUUAUUAUACACCUGUUUGCUUUGGGCGGGCCCACCGGGGCCACCUUGGUCGCCGGGGGACGUACGUCCCCGGGUCCGCGCCCGCCGAAAGCGCUCUGUGAACCCCUGAUGAAGAAGGGCUGUCUGAGUACCCAUGAAAAUUGUCAAAACUUUCAACAAUGGAUCUCUUGGUUCCGGGCAUCGAUGAAGAACGCAGCGAAAUGCGAUAAGUAAUGUGAAUUGCAGAAUUCCGUGAAUCAUCGAAUCUUUGAAACGCACAUUGCGCCCCCUGGCAUUCCGGGGGGCAUGCCUGUCCGAGCGUCAUUUCUGCCCUCAAGCACGGCUUGUGUGUUGGGUGCGGUCCUCCCGGGGACCUGCCCGAAAGGCAGCGGCGACGUCCGUCUGGUCCUCGAGCGUAUGGGGCUCUGUCACUCGCUCGGGAAGGACCUGCGGGGGUUGGUCACCACCACAGUUUUACCACGGUUGACCUCGGAUCAGGUAGGAGUUACCCGCUGAACUUAAGCAUAUCAAUAAGCGGAGGAAAAGAAACCAACCGGGGAUUGCCUCAGUAACGGCGAGUGAAGCGGCAAGAGCUCAAAUUUGAAAUCUGGCCCCUUUGGGGUCCGAGUUGUAAUUUGCAGAGGAUGCUUCGGGUGCGGUCCCCAUCUAAGUGCCCUGGAACGGGCCGUCAUAGAGGGUGAGAAUCCCGUCUGGGAUGGGCGGCCGCGCCCGUGUGAAGCUCCUUCGACGAGUCGAGUUGUUUGGGAAUGCAGCUCUAAGCGGGUGGUAAAUUUCAUCUAAAGCUAAAUACUGGCCGGAGACCGAUAGCGCACAAGUAGAGUGAUCGAAAGAUGAAAAGCACUUUGAAAAAGAGAGUUAAACAGCACGUGAAAUUGUUGAAAGGGGAAAGCGUUGUCCACCAGACUCGCCCGGGGGGGUUUCAGCCGGCACGUGUGCCGGUGUAACUCCUCUCCGGGCGGGCCAGCAUUCGGUUUGGGGCGGCUGGUGAAAGGCCCCGGGAAUGUAGCACCCUUUCGGGGGGCCUUUAUAGCCCGGGGUGCCAUACAGCCAGCCUGGACCGAGGCCCGCGCUUCGGCAGAUGCGCAAUGAAUGUGGGCAACGCCCCUGUAAAAAACCAGAAAAA